UGAAGGUGAAAGCCCAAGAAGGAGUUCUUGAGCUAUGAAGGUCCAUCUUCUUCCUUCUUCUCCCUUUCAGCCAACCUUCUGCCUUCCUGCGAGCUAGCACUCUCCGGAAAGCUGAUCAUUCCGAAGCUUCGCGUGGACGAGUCAUCGAGGCCGGACGCUUGUGCGGCUGCGAAGCAUCCUUGAAGGAACCUCGUUCUAAAGUCAACGGCCAAGUGGCAAGCAUCCGUGCACAAGCAAGGGAGCAAACAUGGAAAAAUUUCCAAAGAAAGCAAACCAUGACAAGUGUCAUGCAUCUAGUGCAAGAGCAAGUAUGGAAAGGCUCAUCGAAGAAGGAAGGAAGCAUGAACGGCCAAGAUGCAAUAAGCCGAAGAAUCAAAGGAGCACAAGAAGACACGUCAUCAAUUUGCGGGAGGGGAAUUUUCUUCUUUUGACGAGCCUGAGCCCAUAUAAAGGGCUCUAGGGAUCAUUUCAAACACAAUCAAAAUGUUCUCUUCUCCCUAUUCCAAGAGUGUAGAUAAAAAGGGCUCUAGGGAUCAUUGGGGAGAAAAGAAAUAAAGAAAAAUUUUCUUCUCCUCAUAAUUUUUCUAAGUUUCUUUUGAGGUAUCUGUAAGCGUGAACGUACUGUUGGGAAUUGUAUCCUAAAUGUCAAUCGUCAGCAUGUUGAUGAUUAAAUGAAUUGACAAAUCAAUAAAGUAUUUUUUGGCAUUAUUCAUCA
Molecule: non-coding RNA, 715 nt
Organism: Phoenix dactylifera (date palm)
Lineage: Eukaryota; Viridiplantae; Streptophyta; Magnoliopsida; Arecales; Arecaceae
Source: RefSeq, a predicted model, not a curated record